CCCAGACUCCUACGGGAGGCAGCAGUGGGGGAUAUUGCACAAUGGGGGGAACCCUGAUGCAGCGACGCCGCGUGGGUGAAGGAGCGUUUCGGCGCGUAAAGCCCUAUCGGCAGGGAAGAAGGAGGACGGUACCUGACUAAGAAGCCCCGGCUAACUACGUGCCAGCAGCCGCGGUAAUACGUAGGGGGCAAGCGUUAUCCGGAUUUACUGGGUGUAAAGGGGGCGCAGACGGCAGCGCAAGCCAGGAGUGAAAGCCCGGGGCCCAACCCCGGGACUGCUCUUGGAACUGCGCGGCUGGAGUGCAGGAGGGGCAGGCGGAAUUCCUGGUGUAGCGGUGAAAUGCGUAGAUAUCAGGAGGAACACCGGUGGCGAAGGCGGCCUGCUGGACUGCGACUGACGUUGGGGCCCGAAAGCGUGGGGAGCAAACAGGAUUAGAUACCCUGGUA
This 446-nucleotide ribosomal RNA is filed under the name uncultured bacterium. RNAcentral's name for it is "partial 16S ribosomal RNA". It matches the Rfam family "Bacterial small subunit ribosomal RNA", at positions 330 to 792 of the family's 1533-position model. The record is from RNAcentral.